RNAcentral lists this ribosomal RNA (309 nucleotides) under uncultured bacterium. Its description in RNAcentral is "partial 16S ribosomal RNA". It matches the Rfam family "Bacterial small subunit ribosomal RNA", at positions 504 to 807 of the family's 1533-position model. The record is from RNAcentral.
AGAGACAGCAGUAGCCGCGGGAAUACGGAGGGUGCGAGCGUUAAUCGGAAUUACUGGGCGUAAAGCGUACGCAGGCGGUUUGUUAAGUCAGAUGUGAAAUCCCCGGGCCUAACCUGGGAACUGCAUUUGAAACUGGCAGGCUAGAGUCUCGUAGAGGGGGGUAGAAUUCCAGGUGUAGCGGUGAAAUGCGUAGAGAUCUGGAGGAAUACCGGUGGCGAAGGCGGCCCCCUGGACGAAGACUGACGCUCAGGUACGAAAGCGUGGGGAGCAAACAGGAUUAGAUACCCCAGUAGUCCCUGUCUCUUAUAC